GUUGGGAAUCUUGGACAAUGGGGGAAACCCUGAUCCAGCCAUGCCGCGUGAGUGAUGAAGGCCUUCGGGUUGUAAAACUCUUUCGACGGGGACGAUAAUGACGGUACCCGUAGAAGAAGCUCCGGCUAACUUCGUGCCAGCAGCCGCGGUAAUACGACGGGGGCGAGCGUUGUUCGGAAUUACUGGGCGUAAAGCGCGCGCAGGCGGCUAUCCAAGUCAGUGGUGAAAGCCCGGAGCUCAACUCCGGAACUGCCAUUGAAACUGGUUAGCUUGAGGACGAGAGGGGUGAGUGGAAUUCCCAGUGUAGAGGUGAAAUUCGUAGAUAUUGGGAAGAACACCAGUGGCGAAGGCGGCUCACUGGCUCGUAUCUGACGCUCAGGCGCGAUAGCGUGGGGAUCAAACAGGAUUAGAAACCCGUGUAGUCC
Molecule: ribosomal RNA, 425 nt
Filed under: uncultured bacterium
Lineage: Bacteria
Description: partial 16S ribosomal RNA
Rfam family: Bacterial small subunit ribosomal RNA
Source: RNAcentral